Molecule: ribosomal RNA, 641 nt
Filed under: uncultured eukaryote
Lineage: Eukaryota
Description: eukaryotic LSU rRNA
Rfam family: 5.8S ribosomal RNA (bases 239-393)
Source: RNAcentral
UUCCGUAGGUGAACCUGCGGAAGGAUCAUUCACACGUAUCCACUUAUUUCACUGUGAACUUCCAUUUAUGAGCUUCUGUACGCGGUUGGGGAUAGCAUCUGCUUCCUCGUGCACUAGUUCGCGGGUAGUGGAUCAGCUUUGGACCGUCUUCCUUUGCUGUGAAGCUAUCGUUAUUUGUUGAAUUACACAUGUAUCUGUGUUUUGCUUUGGGUGGUUGACCACCUCUUGCAUCAAGCACAACUUUCAGCGACGGAUGUCUCGGCUCGAACAACGAUGAAGGGCGCAGCGAAGUGUGAUAAGCAUUGUGAAUUGCAGAAUUCCGUGAACCAAUAGGGAUUUGAACGUAUACUGCGCUUUCGGGAUAUCCCUGAAAGCAUGCCUGCUUCAGUGUCUACUGAUAUCCAUGCCACUGACGCAUUCCAAUCUUUGGUGCUGUCAUGUGUGCGUGUUUGUGUGUCAAGGAGCUUCGCGCCCUUGACGCAUUCAGUGCACAGGUGCUGUCCACAACAAGCAAUUUGUAAAACACUUCUGUGUCAUACGUUGCUUUGUUGCUGGUCACUUGCCUGGUACAAUUCAAAAUCAUUUGAUCUUAUUCAAGACAUGAAGUUAGGUCAGCAAACCCGCUGAAUUUAAGCAUAUCA